Small nuclear RNA from Phyllostomus discolor (pale spear-nosed bat), 102 nucleotides. NCBI's taxonomy places the organism in Eukaryota, Metazoa, Chordata, Mammalia, Chiroptera, Phyllostomidae. The record is from RefSeq and is a predicted model, not a curated record.
CUACAACAGUGGUGCACAUAUACUGAACUUGGAAUGAUACAGAGAUUAGUGUGGCCCCUGUGCAAGGAUGAUACAUGGGUCUGUAAAGCAUUCCAUAUUUAA